This 948-nucleotide long non-coding RNA is filed under the name Bos taurus (domestic cattle). Its description in RNAcentral is "long non-coding RNA NONBTAT024614". Lineage: Eukaryota; Metazoa; Chordata; Mammalia; Artiodactyla; Bovidae. The record is from RNAcentral.
CAGAGAACUGUAUUCACAGGAGAGCUCUGUGCCAUUGACAAGAGUGCGAAAGAGGAAGCCUACAUGACUUUGAGACUUGUGACCUGACCUGCCUCUGUCCAGCCAACCACAUUGAAUGGGGUCAGUUAGCUGCCUUCAUCUAUGGAGUCACAAAGGUAAAGAUGAUCCUGGAGAGUAUAUUCCCUCCAGGGAGGCCAUGGCCUCACGCCCCAGCAGCCUUGGCAGGACUUGCUAAAUAACACCUUUGUCCAAGACAGGGUUAUGUGUCUUCUCCUCUCUACACCCUCAUGAGCAGUCCAGGUGGCUUAAGAUCAAGAAGGGAGGACAUGGAUGUGGACCAUCCCUCUGAGCAGCCCUAAGGGAGGGCCAUGCACACUGCCUUUUUGUAAGUCUUUGCCCCGAUUCCCUUCACUCCCUUAACAUAGCUGUCUUCAAAUAACUUUCUGGUUUUUUGCGUGUUAAAGUGAAGUGCAUGUAAUAAGGAGGUGGUCUACUGUAGAUUUUGAUUUGUGGCAACAAAGAUAGGAUUUUUGUCUGUCAGAGAAACUUUUUGGAGACACCAUCACGAAUGCCUCACUUCCUUUCUCAGCGCACUGUGACCCAAAGCUGUGUUUCCUAGUAGAGAUGUCAGCAGGCGUUUUUCCAAGAAAGGAUCUGGGCUUUGCUUCCUAAAUGAGACAGUUAGACAUAUGAGACUAGCUGGUGGUGUAUUUUUUUGAGGCUUUUCUGAAUGAUGGAUUAUUUGCUUGUGCUUAGAGAUUACUGGCUUUUUCUUGCUUUCUGUUAUGUUAAAGCAAAUGGUGUAAAUGUUAUUUAUUAGUAGAAAUCAUUUAAUAAGUUUUUUGUGAACAAAAAAUUAAUUUGUUAGAACUUUAUUACUGUAUGGUGGAAGUCAUCUUGGAAAAAAAAGCAGAAAACACUCUUCAAUUAAAUGUUAACGUUAUUGGC